UGAGUAAUGUCUGGGAAACUGCCUGAUGGAGGGGGAUAACUACUGGAAACGGUAGCUAAUACCGCAUAACGUCUUCGGACCAAAGUGGGGGACCUUCGGGCCUCAUGCCAUCAGAUGUGCCCAGAUGGGAUUAGCUAGUAGGUGGGGUAACGGCUCACCUAGGCGACGAUCCCUAGCUGGUCUGAGAGGAUGACCAGCCACACUGGAACUGAGACACGGUCCAGACUCCUACGGGAGGCAGCAGUGGGGAAUAUUGCACAAUGGGCGCAAGCCUGAUGCAGCCAUGCCGCGUGUAUGAAGAAGGCCUUCGGGUUGUAAAGUACUUUCAGCGAGGAGGAAGGCGUUAAGGUUAAUAACCUUAGCGAUUGACGUUACUCGCAGAAGAAGCACCGGCUAACUCCGUGCCAGCAGCCGCGGUAAUACGGAGGGUGCAAGCGUUAAUCGGAAUUACUGGGCGUAAAGCGCACGCAGGCGGUCUGUCAAGUCGGAUGUGAAAUCCCCGGG
RNAcentral lists this ribosomal RNA (504 nucleotides) under uncultured bacterium. RNAcentral describes it as "bacterial SSU rRNA". It matches the Rfam family "Bacterial small subunit ribosomal RNA", at positions 107 to 607 of the family's 1533-position model. The record is from RNAcentral.